GUGAGGAAUAUUGGUCAAUGGGCGAGAGCCUGAACCAGCCAAGUCGCGUGAAGGAAGAAGGAUCUAUGGUUCGUAAACUUCUUUUGCAGGGGAAUAAAGUGCAGGACGUGUCCUGUUUUGUAUGUACCCUGAGAAUAAGGAUCGGCUAACUCCGUGCCAGCAGCCGCGGUAAUACGGAGGAUCCGAGCGUUAUCCGGAUUUAUUGGGUUUAAAGGGUGCGUAGGUGGUUUGAUAAGUCAGCGGUGAAAGUUUGCAGCUUAACUGUAAAAAUGCCGUUGAAACUGUCGGACUUGAGUGUAAAUGAGGUAGGCGGAAUGUGUGGUGUAGCGGUGAAAUGCAUAGAUAUCACGCAGAACUCCGAUUGCGAAGGCAGCUUACUAAGCUACAACUGACACUGAAGCACGAAAGCGUGGGGAUCAAACAGGAUUAGAAACCCUAGUAGUCC
This 445-nucleotide ribosomal RNA is filed under the name uncultured bacterium. RNAcentral's name for it is "partial 16S ribosomal RNA". It matches the Rfam family "Bacterial small subunit ribosomal RNA", at positions 354 to 796 of the family's 1533-position model. The record is from RNAcentral.